UACGUAGGGGGCAAGCGUUAUCCGGAUUUACUGGGUGUAAAGGGAGCGUAGACGGUAGUGCAAGUCUGAUGUGAAAACCCGGGGCUCAGCUCCGGGAUUGCAUUGGAAACUGUAUAACUAGAGUGCAGGAGAGGUAAGUGGAAUUCCUAGUGUAGCGGUGAAAUGCGUAGAUAUUAGGAGGAACACCGGCGGCGAAGGCGGCUUACUGGACUGUAACUGACGUUGAGGCUCGAAAGCGUGGGGGGCAAAC
RNAcentral lists this ribosomal RNA (250 nucleotides) under uncultured prokaryote. Its description in RNAcentral is "partial 16S ribosomal RNA". It matches the Rfam family "Bacterial small subunit ribosomal RNA", at positions 524 to 773 of the family's 1533-position model. The record is from RNAcentral.